AGGGAAACUGUAUAUGUAUUGUGACAAACUACUGCGAAGUUGGAAAUAUAUUCGAAAGUACAAAGAAGGUUGUGAGGAGGAAGAAUAUCGCUCCACUGAAGGAAGACGGUGUUUAUAUAUUAUGUAGUUUAUUUAAUUUAAUGUAAGUUUCAAUUUGAUUUUAUUGACUCAUGUAUUUUGUAUGUGUAAUUGUACGAUGUGUUGCAAAACAGUUUUAUUUCCGAAAUCAUUGUUUGGUUUUGUGGAA
Molecule: non-coding RNA, 247 nt
Organism: Erythranthe guttata (spotted monkey flower)
Lineage: Eukaryota; Viridiplantae; Streptophyta; Magnoliopsida; Lamiales; Phrymaceae
Source: RefSeq, a predicted model, not a curated record